Molecule: ribosomal RNA, 468 nt
Filed under: uncultured bacterium
Lineage: Bacteria
Description: partial 16S ribosomal RNA
Rfam family: Bacterial small subunit ribosomal RNA
Source: RNAcentral
GACGAACGCUGGCGGCGUGCUUAACACAUGCAAGUCGAACGGAAAGGCCCUGCUUUUGUGGGGUGCUCGAGUGGCGAACGGGUGAGUAACACGUGAGUAACCUGCCCUUGACUUUGGGAUAACUUCAGGAAACUGGGGCUAAUACCGGAUAGGAGCUCCUGCUGCAUGGUGGGGGUUGGAAAGUUUCGGCGGUUGGGGAUGGACUCGCGGCUUAUCAGCUUGUUGGUGGGGUAGUGGCUUACCAAGGCUUUGACGGGUAGCCGGCCUGAGAGGGUGACCGGCCACAUUGGGACUGAGAUACGGCCCAGACUCCUACGGGAGGCAGCAGUGGGGAAUAUUGCACAAUGGGCGGAAGCCUGAUGCAGCAACGCCGCGUGCGGGAUGACUGCCUUCGGGUGGUAAACCGCUUUCGCCUGUGACGAAGCGUGAGUGACGGUAAUGGGUAAAGAAGCACCGGCUAACUACGUG